UCUAUUUUGUCAGAUAAUAUGUACUAGACUUAGGAUCUAGCUAAAUAGGAGUAAUUCCUAUAAAUAGAAAAGUGGUUAAGCUAACUGUUUU
RNAcentral lists this transfer RNA (91 nucleotides) under Sirpus zariquieyi. RNAcentral describes it as "transfer RNA-Val". Lineage: Eukaryota; Metazoa; Arthropoda; Malacostraca; Decapoda; Pirimelidae. The record is from RNAcentral.